AGCGCAGGUGGUUUAUUAAGUCUGGUGUAAAAGGCAGUGGCUCAACCAUUGUAUGCAUUGGAAACUGGUAGACUUGAGUGCAGGAGAGGAGAGUGGAAUUCCAUGUGUAGCGGUGAAAUGCGUAGAUAUAUGGAGGAACACCGGUGGCGAAAGCGGCUCUCUGGCCUGUAACUGACACUGAGGACUCGAAAGGCGUGGGAAGCAAACA
Molecule: ribosomal RNA, 208 nt
Filed under: uncultured bacterium
Lineage: Bacteria
Description: partial 16S ribosomal RNA
Rfam family: Bacterial small subunit ribosomal RNA
Source: RNAcentral